AACGAACGCUGGCGGCAGGCUUAAUACAUGCAAGUCGAACGCCCCUUUCGGGGGGAGUGGCAGACGGGUGAGUAACGCGUGGGAACGUGCCCAAAGGUAGGGAACAACUCCGGGAAACUGGAGCUAAUACCCUAUGUGCCCGAGAGGGGAGAGAUUUAUCGCCUUUGGAUCGGCCCGCGUUGGAUUAGCUAGUUGGUGGGGUAAAAGCCUACCAAGGCGACGAUCCAUAGCUGUUCUGAGAGGAAGAUCAGCCACACUGGGACUGAGACACGGCCCAGACUCCUACGGGAGGCAGCAGUAGGGAAUCUUGGACAAUGGGCGCAAGCCUGAUCCAGCCAUGCCGCGUGAGUGAUGAAGGCCUUAGGGUUGUAAAACUCUUUCGCAGGUGACGAUAAUGACGGUAACCUGAGAAGAAGCCCCGGCUAACUUCGUGCCAGCAGCCGCAGUAA
RNAcentral lists this ribosomal RNA (449 nucleotides) under uncultured bacterium. Its description in RNAcentral is "partial 16S ribosomal RNA". It matches the Rfam family "Bacterial small subunit ribosomal RNA", at positions 29 to 523 of the family's 1533-position model. The record is from RNAcentral.